ACUCAUACCUUGCAGGGGAAACACCAUGGUCAUGAAAGUGGUUUUCCCAGGGGGAAGGCUCAUCCAUUGCACGUAAGGUGUGCUGCCCCCUAUGAUUUCCCCAAAUGUGGGGAACUCAACUUCAUAAUUUGUGUUAAUGGGGGAUUUGAAUUCUGAGUUCUCUGG
This 165-nucleotide small nuclear RNA is filed under the name Pogona vitticeps (central bearded dragon). RNAcentral's name for it is "U1 spliceosomal RNA (ENSPVIG00000012305.1)". It matches the Rfam family "U1 spliceosomal RNA". From Rfam's summary of the family: U1 is a small nuclear RNA (snRNA) component of the spliceosome (involved in pre-mRNA splicing). Its 5' end forms complementary base pairs with the 5' splice junction, thus defining the 5' donor site of an intron. Lineage: Eukaryota; Metazoa; Chordata; Lepidosauria; Squamata; Agamidae. The record is from Rfam by way of RNAcentral.